RNAcentral lists this ribosomal RNA (507 nucleotides) under uncultured bacterium. RNAcentral describes it as "bacterial SSU rRNA". It matches the Rfam family "Bacterial small subunit ribosomal RNA", at positions 28 to 521 of the family's 1533-position model. The record is from RNAcentral.
GAUGAACGCUAGCUACAGGCUUAACACAUGCAAGUCGAGGGGCAGCAUGAACUUAGCUUGCUAAGUUUGAUGGCGACCGGCGCACGGGUGAGUAACACGUAUCCAACCUUCCGUUUACUCAGGGAUAGCCUUUCGAAAGAAAGAUUAAUACCUGAUAGUAUGGUGAGAUUGCAUGAUAACACCAUUAAAGAUUUAUUGGUAAACGAUGGGGAUGCGUUCCAUUAGGUAGUAGGCGGGGUAACGGCCCACCUAGCCGACGAUGGAUAGGGGUUCUGAGAGGAAGGUCCCCCACAUUGGAACUGAGACACGGUCCAAAACUCCUACGGGAGGCAGCAGUGAGGAAUAUUGGUCAAUGGGCGAGAGCCUGAACCAGCCAAGUAGCGUGAAGGAUGAAGGUCCUACGGAUUGUAAAACUUCUUUUAAUACGGGAAUAAAGUAUCCUACGUGUAGGAUUUUGUAUGUACCGUAUGAAUAAGCAUCGGCUAACUCCGUGCCAGCAGCCGCGGU